Molecule: long non-coding RNA, 1042 nt
Organism: Apodemus sylvaticus (European woodmouse)
Lineage: Eukaryota; Metazoa; Chordata; Mammalia; Rodentia; Muridae
Exons: 3
Source: RefSeq, a predicted model, not a curated record
UCAGAGAACAAGUUAAGGCUCCCAAAUGUGUAACCUUGGGCAGUCAGUACCUUAACCUUAAAGUGCUUAGCCGGCUAUGUCAGAGACCAGGGCUAAACAGCCCCAAACAAGCCCUGAAUGGAGGUACAGCGGGCGGUGGAGGGGAAGUCCGGCUGCAGGGACCUGUAUUGGCACCCGGCAUCCAUGAGACAGCCAGCCUCUGCAGGAGACCCUCCGCCCGCAGGGACCCUUACUACUGCAAGUGUCCUCCUCCUGCUGGAGGAACCUUACAGUGGCUCACAUCUAAAGGACAGCCAGGCAAGUAGGCAACAUCUGAGACGCUCCAUGCUAGACUGGCCAGAGGAAAGUGGAGAGGCGGAAUGCAGUGUGGGAAACUCUUAUCCAGUGGGUCACAACGCACACACAAAGACUUGAGCUUCUUUUCAGGUGCUAAUGGGAAGUAUCCUGUCCAGGUAGACGAAGCUGACCUUGAACUCACGGGGAUCCACUUGUCUCUCCCUCCUAACUGCUGGGAUUAAAGACAGCCUGACCUAGAACUCACUUAUGUAGUCCAGGCUGAUCUAGAUCCUGUGGAAAUCUCCCUGCUCCACCCUCCGAAAGGCUGGGAUCAUGUGUGAGCCAUCAUCUGUCACAGAAUAAUAUUUUUCUAAAAUAAAAGUUACCUCAAAUUAAUUUUUCAAUUUGUUCUAAUUCAGAAGAAAACUUUUUAAAAUCACCUUGGACUGAAGGCUAGCAGCAGUGUAUGUAACAAGAUUUCAUUGGCCUUGAAUUGCAUCUACCCUUGGGGAGUGGAGACAAACAGGCACCUUGGGAUUUGACUAGUAAACGUGUUGUGCCAGGUAAUGUUCAUGAUUCCCCCCAAAAGACCGCUAAGGAGCCAAAUCUGAGGCAAUGGCAUUAGGGUCUCUUUAUUCAAACUCGGUUUUGGGCCACAUUACAAUCUCUGACGAAAUAGAGGGUGUAACCCCAAGCCCCCGUUUCAGGCAAGCAUUUAUAGAGGCAAGAAGGGGGACAGCUAACCUGGUAUACAUCUGAUUAGGGG